UACGGAGGAUGCGAGCGUUAUCCGGAUUUAUUGGGUUUAAAGGGUGCGUAGGCGGAUCGUUAAGUCAGUGGUCAAAUUGAGGGGCUCAACCCCUUCCCGCCAUUGAAACUCGCGAUCUUGAGUGGAAGAGAAGUAUGCGGAAUGCGUGGUGUAGCGGUGAAAUGCAUAGAUAUCACGCAGAACCCCGAUUGCGAAGGCAGCAUGCCGGCUUCCUACUGACGCUGAAGCACGAAAGCGUGGGGAUCGAACAGG
This 252-nucleotide ribosomal RNA is filed under the name uncultured bacterium. Its description in RNAcentral is "partial 16S ribosomal RNA". It matches the Rfam family "Bacterial small subunit ribosomal RNA", at positions 524 to 776 of the family's 1533-position model. The record is from RNAcentral.